Molecule: non-coding RNA, 67 nt
Organism: Ameiurus melas (black bullhead)
Lineage: Eukaryota; Metazoa; Chordata; Actinopteri; Siluriformes; Ictaluridae
Source: the annotation of a GenBank genome assembly
GGCUCGUUGGUCUAGGGGUAUGAUUCCGCUUAGGGCGUGAGGUCCCGGUGCAAAUCCGGAUGAGCCC